UACGAAGGGGGCUAGCGUUGCUCGGAAUCACUGGGCGUAAAGCGCACGUAGGCGGCUUUCUAAGUCAGGGGUGAAAUCCUGGAGCUCAACUCCAGAACUGCCUUUGAUACUGGAGAGCUAGAGUCCGGAAGAGGUGAGUGGAACUGCGAGUGUAGAGGUGAAAUUCGUAGAUAUUCGCAAGAACACCAGUGGCGAAGGCGGCUCACUGGUCCGGUACUGACGCUGAGGUGCGAAAGCGUGGGGAGCAAACCGG
This 253-nucleotide ribosomal RNA is filed under the name uncultured bacterium. RNAcentral's name for it is "partial 16S ribosomal RNA". It matches the Rfam family "Bacterial small subunit ribosomal RNA", at positions 524 to 776 of the family's 1533-position model. The record is from RNAcentral.